This 459-nucleotide ribosomal RNA is filed under the name uncultured bacterium. RNAcentral describes it as "partial 16S ribosomal RNA". It matches the Rfam family "Bacterial small subunit ribosomal RNA", at positions 338 to 795 of the family's 1533-position model. The record is from RNAcentral.
CCUACGGGUGGCAGCAGUGAGGAAUAUUGGUCAAUGGUCGGGAGACUGAACCAGCCAAGCCGCGUGAGGGAUGAAGGUACAGAGUAUCGUAAACCUCUUUUGUCAGGGAACAAAGGCGGGGACGUGUCCCCGGAUGAGUGUACCGUAAGAAAAAGCAUCGGCUAACUCCGUGCCAGCAGCCGCGGUAAUACGGAGGAUGCGAGCGUUAUCCGGAUUUAUGGGGUUUAAAGGGUGCGCAGGCGGUCUGUUAAGUAAGCGGUCAAAGCCCGGGGCUCAACCCGGGCCCGCCGUUGAAACUGGCAGUCUCGAGUUGGAGAGAAGUAUGCGGAAUGCGCGGUGUAGCGGUGAAAUGCAUAGAUAUCGCGCAGAACUCCGAUUGCGAAGGCAGCAUGCCGGCUCCACACUGACGCUGAGGCACGAAAGCGUGGGUAUCGAACAGGAUUAGAUACCCCUGUAGUC